This 425-nucleotide ribosomal RNA is filed under the name uncultured bacterium. Its description in RNAcentral is "partial 16S ribosomal RNA". It matches the Rfam family "Bacterial small subunit ribosomal RNA", at positions 354 to 796 of the family's 1533-position model. The record is from RNAcentral.
GUGGGGAAUCUUGCGCAAUGGGCGAAAGCCUGACGCAGCCAUGCCGCGUGAAUGAUGAAGGUCUUAGGAUUGUAAAAUUCUUUCACCGGGGACGAUAAUGACGGUACCCGGAGAAGAAGCUCCGGCUAACUUCGUGCCAGCAGCCGCGGUAAUACGAAGGGGGCUAGCGUUGCUCGGAAUUACUGGGCGUAAAGGGCGCGUAGGCGGACAGUUUAGUCAGAGGUGAAAGCCCAGGGCUCAACCUUGGAAUUGCCUUUGAUACUGGCUGUCUUGAGUACGGGAGAGGUGAGUGGAACUCCGAGUGUAGAGGUGAAAUUCGGAGAUAUUCGGAAGAACACCAGUGGCGAAGGCGACUCACUGGCCCGUUACUGACGCUGAGGCGCGAAAGCGUGGGGAGCAAACAGGAUUAGAUACCCCAGUAGUCC